GUGGAUUAAUUCGAUGCAACGCGAAAAACCUUACCUACCCUUGACAUGUACGGAAUCCUGCUGAGAGGUGGGAGUGCUCGAAAGAGAACCGUAACACAGGUGCUGCAUGGCUGUCGUCAGCUCGUGUCGUGAGAUGUUGGGUUAAGUCCCGCAACGAGCGCAACCCUUGUCCUUAGUUGCUACGCAAGAGCACUCUAGGGAGACUGCCGGUGACAAACCGGAGGAAGGUGGGGAUGACGUCAAGUCCUCAUGGCCCUUAUGGGUAGGGCUUCACACGUCAUACAAUGGUCGGUACAGAGGGCUGCCAAACCGCGAGGUGGAGCUAACCCCAGAAAACCGAUCGUAGUCCGGAUCGCAGUCUGCAACUCGACUGCGUGAAGCUGGAAUCGCUAGUAAUCGCGGAUCAGCAUGUCGCGGUGAAUACGUUCCCGGGUCUUGUACACACCGCCCGUCACACCAUGGGAGUGGGUUUUGCCAGAAGUAGGUAGCCUAACCGUAAGGAGGGCGCUUACCACGGCAGGAUUCAUGACUGGGGUGAAGUCGUAACAA
Molecule: ribosomal RNA, 549 nt
Filed under: Pandoraea sp. 3T-N11
Lineage: Bacteria; Pseudomonadati; Pseudomonadota; Betaproteobacteria; Burkholderiales; Burkholderiaceae
Description: bacterial SSU rRNA
Rfam family: Bacterial small subunit ribosomal RNA
Source: RNAcentral